UGAGGCUCAAUGUUUAGGACCACUGGGUAAUGAGGAUGGGAAUAAUCUUGAAAUGAUAGUAACUGGUUGAUUUGCCAGAUUUCUGCAGUCCUUUCCUAGGGACCCAACAAGACCGGUUUGUGCAUGUUUUGCAUUUAGGGCUGGAACCUGGGUGAGAUGAAGAAAGAAUCUGAUCCAUGGACCAGCCAAGGCAAGAAUGUGCAAACGUUGAUUGGCAGCGAAUGAUUGCUUACUGGAUAACCAAAAUGAAGAGGAAGUUACUUAAAAAAAAAAAAAAAA
RNAcentral lists this unclassified non-coding RNA (279 nucleotides) under Hevea brasiliensis (rubber tree). The record is from RNAcentral. Lineage: Eukaryota; Viridiplantae; Streptophyta; Magnoliopsida; Malpighiales; Euphorbiaceae.